UACGUAGGGGGCAAGCGUUGUCCGGAAUCAUUGGGCGUAAAGAGCGCGUAGGCGGCCCUGUAAGUCCGCUGUGAAAGUCAAGGGCUCAACCCUUGGAUGCCGGUGGAUACUGCAGGGCUAGAGUCCGGAAGAGGCGAGUGGAAUUCCUGGUGUAGCGGUGAAAUGCGCAGAUAUUAGGAGGAACACCGGUGGCGAAGGCGCUGCUCUGGGCCGAUACUGACGCUGAGGAGCGAAAGCGUGGGUAGCAAACAGG
This 253-nucleotide ribosomal RNA is filed under the name uncultured bacterium. Its description in RNAcentral is "partial 16S ribosomal RNA". It matches the Rfam family "Bacterial small subunit ribosomal RNA", at positions 524 to 776 of the family's 1533-position model. The record is from RNAcentral.